AAAGUCCUNGAGUCAAAACGGGGCACGUCAGGUUUCCGUAAGGGACAAUUGAUUCGGGCAAAAUAGGGACAAAGGACCCCCCGACCGAUCACGCAUCUACAUACAAGACUUCGAGCAACACUUGGGCGUCCGAUGCUUGCAAGCUAAAUAAGCAAAGCAAGGGCGAACGUCCAUAGGAGCUUCAGGGUCUACGUUGCACAAAACAUUUCGCACGACAUAGAGUAGGGGCCAUGGGACUAGAGAAUUCCAUCAAAAUAGGUAUGCUGCACAGGGGGCCAAGCCAAUCCAAGGCAAAAUAUUUAGCACUCGGACAGAAUUGAACAGGUUUGAACCAGCGGUUGUCGCUGCCGAGGCAGGGAACCAACCAGCCGAUACAUACCAAUCACCA
Molecule: unclassified non-coding RNA, 388 nt
Filed under: Cymopterus bakeri
Lineage: Eukaryota; Viridiplantae; Streptophyta; Magnoliopsida; Apiales; Apiaceae
Description: partial external transcribed spacer
Source: RNAcentral